AUCUUUGUGUAAGUAUGUUCCAUGCAGUAUUUGGGAUAUACUUAUACUAAAA
RNAcentral lists this microRNA precursor (52 nucleotides) under Vicugna pacos (alpaca). RNAcentral describes it as "mir-1302 microRNA precursor family". It matches the Rfam family "mir-1302 microRNA precursor family". Lineage: Eukaryota; Metazoa; Chordata; Mammalia; Artiodactyla; Camelidae. The record is from Rfam by way of RNAcentral. RNAcentral also lists the same sequence under 1 other name.